RNAcentral lists this ribosomal RNA (1557 nucleotides) under Harpellomyces montanus. RNAcentral describes it as "eukaryotic LSU rRNA". It matches the Rfam family "Eukaryotic large subunit ribosomal RNA", at positions 114 to 1437 of the family's 3401-position model. The record is from RNAcentral. Lineage: Eukaryota; Fungi; Kickxellomycota; Harpellomycetes; Harpellales; Harpellaceae.
CUUAAAAUCUACAAGGUUUUUUAAUUUUGUCGAGUUGUAGCUUAUGGAGGCAGUUUUCAGGUUUUAGUGGGGUACAAGUCCUUUUGAAUAAGGCAUCAGAGAGGGUGAAAGUCCCGUCCUUGACCUUGCUACAAAAUCUAAUGUAAGCUGUUUUCUUAGAGUCGGGUUGUUUGGGAAUGCAGCCCUAAUUAGGAGGUAAAUUUCUUCUAAAGCUAAAUAUAAGCAAGAGACCGAUAGCAUACAAGUACCGUGAGGGAAAGAUGAAAAGCACUUUGAAAAGAGAGUGAAAAGUACGUGAAAUUGUUGGAAGGGAACCGUUUCUUAGCCAAGCUUUGCGGGCAGUUUGCAGCUUUCGGGUUGUAGAUUGUCAGCAGGGUCAACAUCGGUUACCAUUACUGGUUGGAUAGGGGAGCUUUGAGUAAGGUAGAAAUGCGAUGGAAUGUUUUCUUCGGGGGAUAUUUUAUAUAAAGUUGCGUUUUGUUAUAGACUCUUGGGCUCAAUCCUUAGCAGCUGGGGUGACCGAGGAACGCAAUGUGUGCUUGGAUUUAUCUGGGCAGGAGGUGGUUGCUUGAUUGCGAGGUUGUAUAUUUAUUGAGACAGCUUGCUGACUUUUUAGGUGUAUAGUUUUAAUCAUGGUAGCUAAUUCUCACUUACUCACAUUAAGGAUGUUGACGAAAAGGCAACAAACGACCCGUCUUGAAACACGGACCAAGGAGUCCAGCAUGCAUGCAAGUAUUUGGGAAUAAUAAACCCAUAUGCGCAAUGAAAGUGAUUUCUAAUUUUAAAGUCAAUCUGAGCAUUUUAUGUGAAGAGGCAGCUUUGACCGACCUCAGAUAGCGUUGCUUGAGAGGUUUGAGUAAGAGCAUGUAUGUUGGGACCCGAAAGAUGGUGAACUAUGCCUGAAUAGGGUGAAGUCAGAGGAAACUCUGAUGGAAGCUCGUAGAGAUUCUGACGUGCAAAUCGAUCUCGGAAUUUGGGUAUAGGGGCGAAAGACUAAUCGAACCAUCUAGUAGCUGGUUCCUGCCGAAGUUUCCCUCAGGAUAGCAGAGACUGGAAUAAAAGCAGUUUUACGAGGUAAAGCGAAUGAUUAGAGGCCUUGGGGAUGUAACAUCCUUAACCUAUUCUCAAACUUUAAAUGCGUAAGAAGCCCUAGCUGCUUAAUUGAGCUUGGGCGGAAAAAUGUACUCUGUACUAUUUUUAUUCGAAUGCAUCAGUCUUUAGUGGGCCAUUUUUGGUAAGCAGAACUGGCGAUGCGGGAUGAACCGAACGUAAAGUUAAGGUGCCUAAAUGCACGCUCAUGUAGACACCAUAAAAGGUGUUAGUUCAUCUAGACAGCAGGGCGGUGGCCAUGGAAGUCGGAAUCCGCUAAGGAGUGUGUAACAACUCACCUGCCGAAUGAACUAGCCCUGAAAAUGGAUGGCGCUUAAGCGAGCUACCGAUACUUUACCGUUAAAAGGCAGCUUUUAAUUUAUUAUUGGCUGAAGAUUCUUUUAACGAGUAGGCAGGCGUGGAGGUUAUAGUUGCGAAGCUAUGGACGUGAGUUCUAGUGGAACAGCC